GAGACAGCAGGAAGAAGAGAAAGACAACAGAUCCACUCUCUCUUUCUUAACAUUCUUCACAAUCACAAAUCUAAAUACAUACAAGUUACUUAUUGCCAUUAAUCGAAAUACAAUACACAAGGAAAAAGCUAGUUUUAUCUUACUGUUUGGGUUUUGCUUUUUCCUCGUGUUGAAGUUCUCAUUUUUUUGACUCUGCCCACAAUCUGUGGCCAGCUUCAAAUCAUUACUCUCCUUUCCUUUUGUCUUAAAAAAGCUAGGUCUUAAGUCAUCCUUCUCUUCAAUUAUCCCCGUCUACAUUCUCUAAUUGAUGUCUUUUUAUUUUCUACUUUCUGAGAUUUGGUUGCCUCUGUUUUUGUUUAUUAUUAUUAUGUUGGGACGGACGGAAAAGUGAUAAAAUGUUGUGAGCGAAGCGAUGAGUGUGUUGUUGGUUGAGAAAUAUGGGAUGUGUCUUUGGGCGAGAAGUAUCGGCGGCCAAGUCAUUUGAGCGAAACGACGGGGAAGUCAUUAGAGUUGAGAGGAAAGUAACGGAACGCGGUGAGACUCGGAAUGGUCUGAAUCAGAAUGAGGGGAAUAAUGAAGAAGGGAGUGUACGGCCAAGGGGAGACAAACGACGGUCUUCACGACCGAAUCCACGGCUGAGUAAUCCACCAAAGCAUGUGCACGGUGAACAGGUGGCAGCGGGAUGGCCUUCCUGGCUCUCCGCUGUUGCUGGAGAAGCCAUCAGUGGCUGGACCCCACGCCGUGCAGAUACAUUCGAGAAGCUCGAUAAGAUUGGGCAAGGUACAUAUAGUAAUGUGUACAAAGCAAGGGAUACUUUGACUGGGCAAAUUGUGGCAUUGAAGAAGGUACGGUUUGACAAUUUGGAGCCUGAGAGUGUGAAAUUCAUGGCUAGGGAAAUUUUAAUUUUGCGCCGAUUGGAUCAUCCAAAUGUUGUAAAAUUGGAAGGUUUAGUAACCUCAAGGAUGUCCUGUAGUUUGUAUCUGGUGUUUAAGUACAUGGAGCAUGAUUUGGCUGGUCUUGCUGCCAGCCCAGGAAUCAAGUUCACUGAGCCUCAGGUCAAAUGUUAUAUGCGCCAGCUAUUAUCUGGGUUGGAACACUGUCACAACCGUAAUGUGCUGCAUCGUGAUAUUAAGGGAUCAAAUCUUCUUAUUGACAAUAAGGGAAUUCUUAACAUUGCUGAUUUUGGAUUAGCAUCCUUUUUUGAUCCAAAACACAAGCAGCCGAUGACUAGUAGGGUUGUUACCCUAUGGUAUCGACCCCCUGAACUUCUUCUUGGUGCCACUGAUUAUGGUGUUGGUGUGGACCUUUGGAGUGCUGGGUGUAUUCUGGCGGAGUUAUUGGCUGGGAAGCCUAUCAUGCCUGGUCGCACUGAGGUGGAGCAACUACACAAGAUAUUUAAAUUGUGUGGCUCUCCUUCUGAAGAAUAUUGGAAGAAGUCGAAGUUGCCACAUGCCACUAUAUUUAAGCCUCAGCAAUCUUACAAAAGAUGCAUAGCAGAGACUUUUAAAGACUUUCCACCAUCAUCACUGCCACUGAUUGAGACACUUCUUGCAAUUGAUCCAGCUGAACGUCAAACUGCUACUGCCGCAUUGAGGAGUGAAUUCUUCACAACCAAGCCUUAUGCCUGUGAGCCUUCUAGCCUUCCAAAAUAUCCUCCCAGCAAAGAGAUGGAUGCUAAACUACGAGAUGAAGAAGCUAGAAGGUUGAGAGCUGCUGGAAAAGCUAAUGCUGAAAUGAAGAAAGCACGUUCACGUGAUCGAGCUGUAAGGGCAAUGCCAGCUCUAGAAGCCAAUGCUGAGCUUCAAGCCAAUCUUGAUAUGCGGCGGCUAAUAACACAUGCAAAUGCGAAGAGCAAGAGCGAGAAGUUUCCUCCUCCACACCAAGAUGGAGCUCUUGGCUAUCCAUUGGGUUCCGUACACCACAUUGAUCCUGUGUUUGAUCCUCCCGAUGUCCCUUUUAGUUCCAUGAAUUUCUCUUAUGCAAAAGCACCUAUCCAGACCUGGUCUGGCCCUUUGGUGGACCCAGCGUCUGUGGGUGCUCCAAGAAGAAAGAAGCACACGACAGGUGAUGGGCAUGCCCACUCAAAGUCAUCAAAGAAAUAUACAAAUUCUGGUCGAAUCUAAAAAGACAAAACAUUGUAAUAUAACUUCUACUUUUCCGUGAGAUUAUUCAUGAGGCUGCAAAAGCUGCUGAUCCGGUGUUUCAUAAAUCCAGACCCGGGAAAGCCAGUUAAAUUGUAUGGAGAGGACCCAGCUUAUGCUGUUAAUAUUAUGGUUACAUCGACCCUCAUAUCUGAAGAUGACUUUGUUCUAAAAGUUUUUGGAGCCUAAUGAGUAUGAGAUUUUAUUUUCUUAGCUCCAUUCUAAGAAAUCUCUGUAAACCAUGCAAAUAGUCUGCAAAUCAACUCAAGGAAUAAUGUCUGAGGCCGGUAGAGGUGUUAGGCUAUUUCUAAAGAUUCGGACAUUUGGUUUAGUUUUUAGAGUACACUGUGAAAUGUUUUCACAUUCAACUCUGCAAUUUUGGUUGCUGGGAAACUAUGGAACCAAACCUGGCAAGAUAUUCUAUAUUUUUUGCCCGUAGAAUGACUCUGUCGAUAGGGAAGAUCUUCGGAGAACCACCCUCAAGCUGAAAAUCUAUAUAUGCUUCUUCGAUUGCUAGGAAAAUCGGUGAAAAUAGAGAGAUUUUGUUAGGCUGUACUAUUUUUGUUGAAUCAAAAUACAUGAAUUUUUCAUGCUUCAACCAAAUGUUGAUCUUGAUUCAACAUCUGUUUCGUUUGUUACAUAAUAUUUCCACCAUUUGUGACUAAAAAGAUUCCCCUCGCACUUUUUCUUUCGGCUUUCACUUUUUCUUUAACCAUUCUUUUCCCUACACUAACCAAAGCUAAAUUCUAACUGAACCAAAAAAGAGUUUGCCGCCAAGAAGAGAAGAUUAGUUACAAGAAGACCAGCAGGUGGGUGUUGACGGGUAGUUUUAUUGAAUUUAGAAACUAGUAGAAUUUGCUCUAGAAAUUUCACGUGCUACGCAUACCAAGAAAGAUAACUGUGCACCAAUUUAAGAACCUCUAUAUAUUGUUUUAAGUGCCCAGGUUUCUAACUCCGAGUUUUAAGCUUGAAUCUCUCUAAAGCUUUGAUCCCAGUGUUUGCUUGCUCUAAAAAGAGCAUUUUUUUAGGUUUCCAGUGUGAGGUAGGAGUUGGCUGAGUUUAUAACAAAGAAAUGAGACCACCUCCUCCAGGUGGGCCUGGCUUGGGUCCUCCUGGUCUUGGUCCUGGAGGUCCUCCAGCUCCCGGGCCCAGACCGCUGGGCUUGCUUGGCGGCUUGUGCAACGCUUUUUCUUCUUGCCUGUAUGUUAUAUGUUGUUGCUGGUUACUACAAGACUGCUUUGGUGGUCCACCGGCUCCACCUGGACCCAUCGGACCUCCAACACCAGCACCACCUGAACCUCCAUUUGCCCCAGGUCCUCCCCCUCCAAUAGGGCCACCUGGACCUCCACUUGGCCCAGGCCCUCCACCUGGUGGACCCCCAGCACCGGCUCCGCCACCUCCUCCUCCAUGAUGUUGAGGGUUCAAUACCUAUACCUAGUGUAGACAUGCAUCUUAGUUUUACUAAUAAUAACUAUGAAUUGAUUAGUGAAGUCGUGGGGUGUGUGUGUGUGUGUAUGGACUUCAAUUAAAUCAGCCCAAGAAAAGUUGAUCCAACGGUACAUUUUAAUACCGGUAAUAAUUGCAGAAUCAUUAUCUUGACAA
Molecule: RNA transcript, 3743 nt
Organism: Mangifera indica (mango)
Lineage: Eukaryota; Viridiplantae; Streptophyta; Magnoliopsida; Sapindales; Anacardiaceae
Gene name: probable serine/threonine-protein kinase At1g54610
Exons: 9
Source: RefSeq, a predicted model, not a curated record